This 254-nucleotide ribosomal RNA is filed under the name uncultured bacterium. RNAcentral describes it as "partial 16S ribosomal RNA". It matches the Rfam family "Bacterial small subunit ribosomal RNA", at positions 524 to 776 of the family's 1533-position model. The record is from RNAcentral.
GACGGAGGGUGCUAGCGUUGUUCGGAAUCACUGGGCGUAAAGGGCGCGUAGGCGGCCUUGCAAGUCGGUUGGUGAAAGCCCGGGGCUCAACCCCGGAGGUGCGGCCGAGACUGCAGGGCUGGAGGCCGGAAGAGGAGGGUGGAAUACCCAGUGUAGAGGUGAAAUUCGUAGAUAUUGGGAGGAACACCAGUGGCGAAGGCGGCUACCUGGACCGGUUCUGACGCUGAGGCGCGAAAGCGUGGGUAGCAAACAGG